GACGAACGCUGGCGGCGUGCUUAACACAUGCGAGUCGAACGGAAAGGCCCUGCUUUUGUGGGGUGCUCGAGUGGCGAACGGGUGAGUAACACGUGAGUAACCUGCCCUUGACUUUGGGAUAACUUCAGGAAACUGGGGCUAAUACCGGAUAGGAGCUCCUGCUGCAUGGUGGGGGUUGGAAAGUUUCGGCGGUUGGGGAUGGACUCGCGGCUUAUCAGCUUGUUGGUGGGGUAGUGGCUUACCAAGGCUUUGACGGGUAGCCGGCCUGAGAGGGUGACCGGCCACAUUGGGACUGAGAUACGGCCCAGACUCCUACGGGAGGCAGCAGUGGGGAAUAUUGCACAAUGGGCGGAAGCCUGAUGCAGCAACGCCGCGUGCGGGAUGACGGCCUUCGGGUUGUAAACCGCUUUCGCCUGUGACGAAGCGUGAGUGACGGAAAUGGGUAAAGAAGCACCGGCUAACUACGUG
This 468-nucleotide ribosomal RNA is filed under the name uncultured bacterium. Its description in RNAcentral is "partial 16S ribosomal RNA". It matches the Rfam family "Bacterial small subunit ribosomal RNA", at positions 28 to 507 of the family's 1533-position model. The record is from RNAcentral.